GAUGAUCGCUGGCGGCGUGCUUAUUACAUGCAAGUCGAGCGAACAGAUAAGGAGCUUGCUCCUUUGACGUUAGCGGCGGACGGGUGAGUAACACGUGGAUAACUUACCUAUAAGACUGGGAUAACUUCGGGAAACCGGAGCUAAUACCGGAUAAGAUUUUGAACCGCAUGGUUCAAUAGUGAAAGACGGCCUUGCUGUCACUUAUAGAUGGAUCCGCGCCGUAUUAGCUAGUUGGUAAGGUAACGGCUUACCAAGGCAACGAUACGUAGCCGACCUGAGAGGGUGAUCGGCCACACUGGAACUGAGACACGGUCCAGACUCCUACGGGAGGCAGCAGUAGGGAAUCUUCCGCAAUGGGCGAAAGCCUGACGGAGCAACGCCGCGUGAGUGAUGAAGGUCUUCGGAUCGUAAAACUCUGUUAUCAGGGAAGAACAAACGUGUAAGUAACUGUGCACGUCUUGACGGUACCUGAUCAGAAAGCCACGGCUAACUACGUGCCAGCAGCCGCGGUAAUACGUAGGUGGCAAGCGUUAUCCGGAAUUAUUGGGCGUAAAGCGCGCGUAGGCGGUUUUUUAAGUCUGAUGUGAAAGCCCACGGCUCAACCGUGGAGGGUCAUUGGAAACUGGAAAACUUGAGUGCAGAAGAGGAAAGUGGAAUUCCAUGUGUAGCGGUGAAAUGCGCAGAGAUAUGGAGGAACACCAGUGGCGAAGGCGACUUUCUGGUCUGUAACUGACGCUGAUGUGCGAAAGCGUGGGGAUCAAACA
RNAcentral lists this ribosomal RNA (764 nucleotides) under uncultured Staphylococcus sp. RNAcentral describes it as "bacterial SSU rRNA". It matches the Rfam family "Bacterial small subunit ribosomal RNA", at positions 28 to 774 of the family's 1533-position model. The record is from RNAcentral. Lineage: Bacteria; Bacillati; Bacillota; Bacilli; Caryophanales; Staphylococcaceae.